UUCUCCAUGUUGGUCAGGCUGGUCUCAAACUCCUGACCUCAGGUGAUCUACCCACCUUGGCCUCCCAAAGUGCUGAGAUUACAGGGGUGAGCCACCGUGCCUAGUCAGAAAUAAUAUUUAAAAUGUGUAGUAGCACACUACUUAAUUAAAUAAGCAUUAUGUAGGAUAUUGAAAUAAUGUUGCCCUUCAAAGACCUGUAUUCAAUACAAGAAUGAAACUUAUAAAUGUUUAAACAUUUGCAAAAAAAAAUAGUAAUUCCGGGGGAAGUGUUGGCUAGUACAAGACAGACAUUUUACUGUGGCAUGCUGGCUCGGACUGAAGAAAAAAUUCAUAUUUUUUAAAAAAUGAGAUAAAAGUGAGAUAAUUUUUUUGGGGGUGAGAUAAUCUGUGCUAAAAAAAAUUAAAGGUAUCCCUGUUUGGUAAACUUCACUUGGAAUAUUCCAAGUCUCCAAGAUUUGUAAAAUUUAAUGAAAUAUUUGACUUUAGGCUGGGCACAGCGGCUCAUGCCUAUAAUCCUGGCACUUUGGGAGGGUAAGGUAGGGGGAUAUCUUGAGCCCAGGAGUUUGAGACCAGCCUGGGCAACAUAGUGAGUCCUCUCUCUAUCCAAAAAAAAAAAAAAGUUAGCUGGGUGUGAUGGCACAUGCCUGUAAUCACAGCUACUCUGGAGGCUGAUGUGGGAGGAUGGCUUGAGCCUAGGAGGUCGAGGCUGCAGUGAGCCAUGAUCACAUCACUGUACUCCAGUCUGGGCAACAGAGCGAGAUGGAUUCCCUACUAAAUGAAAUAAAAAGACUUACAGUCCUUGUAUAUUACAUGCAUUCCUGCUGCACAGAUAUAAAGAGGCUCUUAAAGUUCAUUUAAGAACGCUGAAAGUAAUAUAACAAGGAACAAGGUUGUUAAAUACUUACAGUGUAGAUUUAAAAUCAAGUAAUUGUGUGUAUUUUCUGCACCACUGGAUGUAUUUAUACAAUUGUUAGCAUAAAUUGUGUGUUCCAUUUCUCAUUAGCAAUUUUAUCUCCCUACUGAAUGCUAGACUUUUAGUUGUUAUUUGUUAUAGCUUAAUUUGUUUCCCGACAGUGAAAAGAGAUAUGGACUUGUAGAUUUUCAGCUAUUUCAUCUUACAAAGCUAGUGUAACCUGACUACAGAUGACUCCAGGGGUAUAUUACUUUAAAAGGAAUUUGGACUAUUACUCAGCAGUCUGUAAGACACAUUCUUUUUUCAGCAUUUAGGGGGAGUUGAGAGAAGCUAUGGCAAGCCAUCUCACCAUUAAAUCUCCUCUACACCACUGCUGCCCUGGCUCAGACCCUUACCAUCUCUCAGGGAAGCCAUUGCAAUUCCUUCCCUAUUGGUCCUCCCCACAGUGUGACUUAUCAGACACACUGAAAUCGGAGUAAAUUUUCUAGAAUAGAUUAGACCAUGUCUCUUCCUUGCUU
RNAcentral lists this small RNA (1431 nucleotides) under Pan troglodytes (chimpanzee). RNAcentral describes it as "processed transcript". Lineage: Eukaryota; Metazoa; Chordata; Mammalia; Primates; Hominidae. The record is from RNAcentral.